GACGAACGCUGGCGGCGUGCUUAACACAUGCAAGUCGAGCGGUAAGGCCCUUUCGGGGGUACACGAGCGGCGAACGGGUGAGUAACACGUGGGUGACCUGCCCUCAGCUCUGGGAUAAGCCUGGGAAACCGGGUCUAAUACCGGAUAUGACUCCAUGACGCAUGUUGUGGGGUGAAAGCCUUGUGCGGCUGAGGAUGGGCCCGCGGCCUAUCAGCUUGUUGGUGGGGUGANGGCCUACCAAGGCGACGACGGGUAGCCGGCCUGAGAGGGCGACCGGCCACACUGGGACUGAGACACGGCCCAGACUCCUACGGGAGGCAGCAGUGGGGAAUCUUGCGCAAUGGGCGAAAGCCUGACGCAGCGACGCCGCGUGAGGGAUGACGGCCUGGU
RNAcentral lists this ribosomal RNA (390 nucleotides) under uncultured bacterium. Its description in RNAcentral is "bacterial SSU rRNA". It matches the Rfam family "Bacterial small subunit ribosomal RNA", at positions 28 to 420 of the family's 1533-position model. The record is from RNAcentral.